AUGCCAAAAAAAGCUAAUAAUACGACAUCGUUUAGAAUCUUUCCAUGGUCAAGCAAAGCCAUCUCAAUUCUCACCCACUUGCCUUUGUAGAAAGCUCCUCUGUCGUGGGCUCAGCAGCAAAAGCUGAAUUAACUAGAUCAUCUUUCUCAGAGACAAAUUAGAUUUUCUUGUUGGGAAACGCUGAACUAACUCAUCUUCCUCGGAGGCAAAAUUAGUUCCUAAAGAUCAAAGCUUGUUCAGAUUCUGUCUCAAUCAAGAGAUAUCUUGCUGCUAUUCAUUUGAGGCAGACUUUUUUCUUUAAGUUUGGAUAUGAAAGAUAUUUGGUUUGUGAUUGUUAGGUUUCAAUAUUGGACUAAACAUAGAGAUUUUGCAUAUUGGAGUACUCCUUCCUAUUAUUAACAUUUCAAUUCCAAUGACAUAUCUACAAAACUGAUUGACAAAGCUCAAUUUUUGAGUGAGAGAAUGGAUUCGGUCAGUAAUGGGAAUCAAAAAGGAGAAACUGAGGAAUCAAAUGGUGCUAAACUCCAGGGUCAUAUCCCUCUCAACAUUUCAGCAUCUAGAAGGACCCUCUUGGGCAAUGAAAAUUUGCAAAGGAAUCUCCAAGACAGCUCAACUGCCCAUCCCAAUAAAAUAAAAUUUCUUAAAUUUGGCUCUGCAUCUGCCAAAUUCAAGCGGUUGGCUCAGGAUAGAGAUGAGAUGUCACGCUCAGUGGCUUCUUCAAGUAGCCAUGGUCUUCGCGAACGCAUGAAGGAGAUUGAUUGGGCUUUUCUGAUGAAAACAAGCAAAGAAUGGAUCCGGGAUCCAAUGAACAUGGCCCUCUUUGUUUGGAUCGUGUGUGUUGCUAUUUCAGGUGCAAUUCUGUUCCUAGUCAUGACUGGAAUGUUAAAUGGUGUGUUGCCAAAGAAGUCACAGAGAAAUGCGUGGUUUGAAGUAAAUAAUCAAAUACUCAAUGCAUUGUUCACUCUAAUGUGCCUUUACCAGCAUCCAAAACGGUUCUACCACCUUGUACUUCUCUGUAGAUGGAAACCGGAGGACAUUUCUAGACUCAGAAAGAUUUACUGCAAAAAUGGGAUCUACAAGCCCCAUGAGUGGGCACACAUGAUGGUUGUUGUUAUUCUACUCCAUGUGAAUUGUUUUGCUCAAUAUGCACUGUGUGGUCUAAAUUUGGGGUACAAGAGAUCUGAGCGACCUGCCAUAGGAGUUGGAAUAUGUAUAUCUUUUGCAAUAGCUGCACCUGCAAUUGCUGGGGUAUACACCAUUAUUAGUCCCCUUGGGAGGGAUUAUUCUGAAUUUGAUGAGGAAGCACAGCAUCAAAUUACUGCUGGUGAGGGUAAGAGGCCAGAGCAGUUAAGAAGAAAAUCAUUAGAAAAGAGAUAUUCCUUUGCAACAAGAGAUGAAGGAAGUGUUGAGACUAGACCACAAUGGAGUGGAGGGAUCCUUGAUUUUUGGGAUGACAUCUCUCUGGCAUAUCUAUCGCUCUUCUGUAGUUUUUGUGUCUUUGGAUGGAAUAUGGAGAGGCUUGGAUUUGGAAACAUGUAUGUUCAUAUUGCAACCUUUCUCCUCUUUUGUAUGGCUCCUUUCUGGAUUUUCAACUUGGCUGCCAUUAAUAUUGAUAAUGAGACUGUCAGGGAAGCUUUAGGAGUUACUGGUAUUAUUCUUUGUGCAUUUGGUUUGCUAUAUGGUGGCUUCUGGAGGAUUCAAAUGAGAAAAAGAUUUAAUUUGCCAACUUAUACCUUCUGUUUUGGUGAACCAGCAGUUUCUGAUUGCACGUUGUGGCUAUGUUGUUGUUGGUGCUCCCUAGCACAGGAAGUUCGAACUACGAAUUCUUAUGACAUUGUGGAAGAUAAGUUUUACAGGAAACACGUGGACAGUAGUAACUAUCUGCAGCCUUCACCUCGUGAAGAUGUUUCAGGCCCAAGUUCUCCAUUAGGCAACAACCGUAGCCCAUCCAAGACUUUGAUAGCUAAUUCUCCAAGUCCUAGCAGAGUUUCAAAUGAGUACAGGCAGCUUUUUACUGUAAAAGAAGAGUCUUCUGCAGGAGGCAAGGAUGAGACUAUGACUCCGCCAUCUCCAACAUUGAUAGAAAGAGAAGCCACUUAGCUGGAACGCAAUUUAGAUAGCAUUCUUAUAUACUGUUCUGGAGAUGCACUAUGAUAAGAAAUAGUAAUCCCUUGCCUGAUUUAGUAUGGAUAGAUCAUUUUCUGAAAUAGGUCGCUAUCACAGCCAACAUUUCAAGCUUCUAUUAUUGUGCGCAUUAUGGAGCAGGCUAAGCAACAAUAAGGCCUUGUCAUCCCAUCAGGAACGAUUUAAUGGAAAAGUGGUUUGAUUGGUCCACAAAUUGACAACAUUUACCACUCAUCGAGCACUCAGAAAGAUUAAAGUUUAUGAUGAUGAGGUAUGCAAAGAAUGGUAAUGAAAGCCAUUUCAGGAAAAGACAAAUGGAAGAUCUCAUGGCUCCACGCAUGCUUGAAAGGUCAUUAACACAUAGUUUUCUCAGGUAGGCAAGUUAUUGGCAAAGUUAGGAAGCAGUAGCCAUGUUUCUAUACGCCAAAAUAGCACGUUAGAAUUGGUCAUUGAUAGGCAGUGCUUAUUAUCUGUUAUCAUGUGAGGAAGCUAGAGGUUUUAUUAAGCGCUCCUAUAGCACAUGCUCCCUCUCACACAGUGAAAUGUGAUCCACGUCCCAUAAUUAUUGGGAAUGACUGAAAAUUUAUAAGUAUAUUCUCUUUCACAGUGAAA
RNA transcript from Hevea brasiliensis (rubber tree), 2736 nucleotides. RefSeq lists it as uncharacterized. The transcript has 5 exons. Lineage: Eukaryota; Viridiplantae; Streptophyta; Magnoliopsida; Malpighiales; Euphorbiaceae. The record is from RefSeq and is a predicted model, not a curated record.